GACGAACGCUGGCGGCGUGGAUUAGGCAUGCAAGUCGAACGGUAUCAUCCUUUCGGGGGUGAGAGAGUGGCGAACUGGUGAGUAACACGUAGGUUAUCUACCCUCAAGACGGGGACAACCCAGGGAAACUUGGGCUAAUACCGGAUGUGAGCAACUUUUUAGUUGUUUGAAAGGUGGCGUAAGCUGUCGCUUGGGGAUGAGCCUGCGUCCUAUUAGUUAGUUGGUGAGGUAACGGCUCACCUAGGCAAUGAUAGGUAGGCGGCCUUAACGGGUGGUCGCCCACACUGGGAUUGAGAUACGGCCCAGACUCCUACGGGAGGCAGCAGUCGAGAAUAGUCUACAAUGGUCGGAAGACUGAUAGUGCGACGCCGCGUGAACGAUGAAUCCCUUCGGGGUGUAAAGUUCUUUUAUAUGUGAGCAGUGCUUCUUAUAUUAACAGUAUGGGGAAGAGAUAUUAGCAUAUGAAUAAGCAACGGCUAACUCCGUGCCAGCAGCCGCGGUAAUCUCG
RNAcentral lists this ribosomal RNA (508 nucleotides) under uncultured bacterium. RNAcentral describes it as "bacterial SSU rRNA". It matches the Rfam family "Bacterial small subunit ribosomal RNA", at positions 28 to 527 of the family's 1533-position model. The record is from RNAcentral.